GCCCUUAUAGCUCAGUUGGUAGAGCACCUGAUUUGUAAUCAGGGGGUCGCGAGUUCGAGUCUUGCUGGGGGCA
Molecule: transfer RNA, 73 nt
Filed under: Shinella fusca
Lineage: Bacteria; Pseudomonadati; Pseudomonadota; Alphaproteobacteria; Hyphomicrobiales; Rhizobiaceae
Also listed under: 3 other names
Description: Shinella sp. DC-196 tRNA
Rfam family: tRNA
About the family: Transfer RNA (tRNA) molecules are approximately 80 nucleotides in length. Their secondary structure includes four short double-helical elements and three loops (D, anti-codon, and T loops). Further hydrogen bonds mediate the characteristic L-shaped molecular structure. tRNAs have two regions of fundamental functional importance: the anti-codon, which is responsible for specific mRNA codon recognition, and the 3' end, to which the tRNAs corresponding amino acid is attached (by aminoacyl-tRNA synthetases). tRNAs cope with the degeneracy of the genetic code in two manners: having more than one tRNA (with a specific anti-codon) for a particular amino acid; and 'wobble' base-pairing, i.e. permitting non-standard base-pairing at the 3rd anti-codon position.
Source: Rfam by way of RNAcentral